UAUAGUUAUAUAUGAGCUGCCGUGAUUGAAAACUUGAGCUACCUUUCUGGGGCAAAAUUGCUUGCAACUGGAUUUAAGGAAGAAGUUGGCAGAUAGUGAGUCAUUUACAAGGAUUUUUGUUGUUGCCCUUUGUACAUAUUUACAUGUUGUGUUCCUGAAAGUUUGAACAGAGAAAGUUAUGCUUUCUCCCUUCCUUAAUUGAGUUACUAAAGAAAAUAAAAUGCAUAUCCCAAGGAAUAUAUGGGCUUGUAGGUUUGGCUAGAAACUUGGAGAGACAGAAGAAGGCAGGGGGGAGAAAUGUCUUUAGGAAAAACACUAAUGGAAGAAGACGAUUCUGGAGAAUUUCAUCCCCAAUACUAACAUUUUACAGACGAGGGACAGCAAUUAGUGACUCACUUUUUCAAGGCUUGAAAGUUUUGUUUUCUUUUUAAAAGGGAUCUGUGAGGUUCUAGAGAAGGGGACAUGUGCUAGACACCGGAAGUACCAGGUAACUUCCUUCCUUCCCGAUCCGCCAUUGUUCUCCCGAUCACCUUGAAUCUGCUUUUCGGAGGGGUUUCCCUGGUUCACUCUCUUAUUCUUUCUCAGUCCUGAGGUUCUUUUCCCUCCAAAUAGAGGAGCCCGAGAAUCGUGACAUCUGUGCUCCUGACAACCAAGCCCCAGAUUUUUGUCAUAGGGCCAGUUCCUUCCUCUCUCUGAGCCUCAUUUCCUCUUUACAUAUUGGGAGGAGCUUGGAUAAGAUGAUGUCUGAAGUCUCUUCAAAUAAUAAAUAUUAUUAAUAACAGGACUAGAAGCAACGAACUGAAAUAUAAUAGAGAUAAAUGCCUGCAUUUAAGUUUUUUUUUUUAAUUAUUUGUAUAAAGGAUGGGUGAUAGAAUUGGCAACUGUAUAUGGGGAAAUAAUUUGAGAGAUUAUGCUAGAACAAAUGUUUAAUCUGAGUAAACUGUUGCAGCUAUCACCUGCCUACCUUCUCUUUGUGCUCCUCUAAACUAAUGCAAUUUAAGAAACACCUUAUGGUCAUGGGAGUUGGUAGUUUUGCUGUACUAUAUCCUGGAUAGUCUGCAUCUUGAAUAUUAUAUUUAUUUGCCAACAUUUAAAGAACAUUGACAAGCUAGAGAUGAUAUGUUGUCCUGAGAAGGAAAGUAAAAACUAGCAAUUUGUUGCCUUUUGAACAUUGGUUUGACUUUUGCAAAGAACCAAAACAUUUCUUGGAAACUCAGAAUGUUAAUCCUGGAAGAGACUAUGGAGACUAUGUAGUACAACUUAGUUAUUCAAUGAUGAUGAAAGAGGCCCAAAAAGGGAAAGUAAUUUACCCAAUGUCACCCAACUAAUUAAUAGGAGAGCCAGGUUUCCUGACUGCCAGCCAACCUGCUUGCCCUUACUACAUCAGACUUAAAGGAAAGCCUGGUUGAUAGGAUGGAUGAUCCAGUGUUUGUUUUGGUUGGCUUUCCUUUUGUGUAUGUGCAUGUUUAAAUAAACAAAUAAAAUGUGGCUAUAAAGUUUUUUAA
This 1505-nucleotide long non-coding RNA is filed under the name Monodelphis domestica (gray short-tailed opossum). Its description in RNAcentral is "lncRNA (ENSMODG00000035781.2)". The record is from RNAcentral. Lineage: Eukaryota; Metazoa; Chordata; Mammalia; Didelphimorphia; Didelphidae.